UACGUAGGGCGCAAGCGUUGUCCGGAAUUAUUGGGCGUAAAGAGCUCGUAGGCGGCCUGUUGCGUCCGCUGUGAAAACCCGGGGCUUAACCCCGGGCUUGCAGUGGAUACGGGCAGGCUGGAGGCAGGCAGGGGAGAACGGAAUUCCCGGUGUAGCGGUGAAAUGCGCAGAUAUCAGGAGGAACACCGGUGGCGAAGGCGGAUCUCUGGGCCAUUACUGACGCUGAGGAGCGAAAGCGUGGGGAGCGAACAGG
This 253-nucleotide ribosomal RNA is filed under the name uncultured bacterium. RNAcentral's name for it is "partial 16S ribosomal RNA". It matches the Rfam family "Bacterial small subunit ribosomal RNA", at positions 524 to 776 of the family's 1533-position model. The record is from RNAcentral.